CGGAAGGUCCUGGCGUUAUCCGGAUUUAUUGGGUUUAAAGGGAGCGCAGGCUGCACUUUAAGCGUGUUGUGAAAUGUACCGGCUCAACCGGUAACGUGCAGCGCGAACUGGGGUGCUUGAGUACGAAGAGGGAAGGCGGAACUCGUGGUGUAGCGGUGAAAUGCUUAGAUAUCACGAGGAACUCCGAUCGCGAAGGCAGCUUUCCGUUUCGGAACUGACGCUGAGGCUCGAAAGUGCGGGUAUCGAACAGGAUU
Molecule: ribosomal RNA, 254 nt
Filed under: uncultured bacterium
Lineage: Bacteria
Description: partial 16S ribosomal RNA
Rfam family: Bacterial small subunit ribosomal RNA
Source: RNAcentral